GUCAACAGCCCUGCUACUCUGAACAAGCUCGAUCCCAUCUGAUCUCGGAAGCUAAGCAGGGUCGGCCUGGUUGGUACUUGGAUGAGAGGACCACCUAGGAAGACCAGGUGCUGUAGGUG
RNAcentral lists this ribosomal RNA (119 nucleotides) under Pteropus alecto (black flying fox). The record is from RNAcentral. Lineage: Eukaryota; Metazoa; Chordata; Mammalia; Chiroptera; Pteropodidae.